Molecule: ribosomal RNA, 286 nt
Filed under: Rhizopus delemar
Lineage: Eukaryota; Fungi; Mucoromycota; Mucoromycetes; Mucorales; Rhizopodaceae
Description: partial large subunit ribosomal RNA
Source: RNAcentral
GCAACAUGGCUGUCUGUAUCAAUCUAGGCUUCGGCCUGGAUGCACUUGCAGGCUAUGCCUGCAACGACAAUUGACUUGAGGGAAAAAACUAAGGGAAAUGUGGCCCACUUGUGGGUGUUAUAGUCCCUUAGAAAAUACCUUGGGUUGGAUUGAGGAACGCAGCGAAUGCUUUUUGGCGAUUUUCCAGGAAGGUUUUCUGAGGUACUACGGAUCAAGGUUGAUCUUUUUGGUUAUACUUCUAUUCGCUUAGGUGUUGGSUUAAUGACUCUAAAUGACCCGCUUGAAA